Molecule: ribosomal RNA, 253 nt
Filed under: uncultured bacterium
Lineage: Bacteria
Description: partial 16S ribosomal RNA
Rfam family: Bacterial small subunit ribosomal RNA
Source: RNAcentral
UACGAAGGGGGCUAGCGUUGUUCGGAAUUACUGGGCGUAAAGCGCGCGCAGGCGGUCCUUCAAGUCAGAGGUGAAAGCCCAGAGCUCAACUCUGGAAUGGCCUUUGAGACUAGAGGACUUGGGUACGGGAGAGGUGAGUGGAAUUCCGAGUGUAGAGGUGAAAUUCGUGGAUAUUCGGAAGAACACCAGUGGCGAAGGCGGCUCACUGGCCCGUUACCGACGCUCAGGCGCGACAGCGUGGGGAGCAAACAGG